CGGUGAGAUAUAGUGAACAUGAAGGUCAAUACCUCCGGCUGUUACUAUAAGUCCCUCACCUGCAACAGCUUCUGUAGAAGCACCUACAACAAAAUCUAUAUUAUCCAUAUUGUCAGGGUUUCCGCCCUUACCUAUAGCCAAAAUCUUUCCGUCACGAAUACCGAUAUCAGCCUUAUAAACUCCGGUAUAAUCAAUUAUAGUGGCACCUGAAAUAAUAGUAUCGGCUACCUUAGGGU
Molecule: small RNA, 236 nt
Filed under: Lachnoanaerobaculum saburreum
Lineage: Bacteria; Bacillati; Bacillota; Clostridia; Lachnospirales; Lachnospiraceae
Description: 5' ureB small RNA
Rfam family: 5' ureB small RNA
Source: RNAcentral